This 437-nucleotide ribosomal RNA is filed under the name Parvimonas sp. oral taxon 110. RNAcentral describes it as "bacterial SSU rRNA". It matches the Rfam family "Bacterial small subunit ribosomal RNA", at positions 28 to 448 of the family's 1533-position model. The record is from RNAcentral. Lineage: Bacteria; Bacillati; Bacillota; Tissierellia; Tissierellales; Peptoniphilaceae.
GACGAACGCUGGCGGCGUGCUUAACACAUGCAAGUCGAACGUGAUUUUUGUGGAAAGCUCUUCGGGGACGGAAGCGAAAUGAAAGUGGCGAAUGGGUGAGUAACACGUGAGCAACCUACCUUACACAGGGGGAUAGCCGUUGGAAACGACGAUUAAUACCGCAUGAGACCACAAAGCCACAUGGCUUAGGGGUAAAAGAUUUAUCGGUGUAAGAUGGGCUCGCGUCUGAUUAGCUAGUUGGAAGGGUAAAGGCCUACCAAGGCAACGAUCAGUAGCCGGUCUGAGAGGAUGAACGGCCACAUUGGAACUGAGACACGGUCCAAACUCCUACGGGAGGCAGCAGUGGGGAAUAUUGCACAAUGGGGGGAACCCUGAUGCAGCGACGCCGCGUGAGCGAAGAAGGUUUUCGAAUCGUAAAGCUCUGUCCUAUGAGAAGA